AGUACAUCAGGAGAUGUGGAGGAGGCCGUAGGAGGGCAACAACCCAGCAGCAGGACCGCUACCUCUGCCUUUGUACAAGGAGGAACAGGAAGAGCACUGCCAGAGACCUGCAAAAUGACCUCCAGCAGGCCACAAAUGUGCCUGUGUCUGCUCAAACGGUCAGAAACAGACUCCAUCAGGGUGGUAUGAGGGCCUGACAUCCACAGGUGGGGGUUGUGCUUACAACCCAACAACAUGCAGGACGUUUGGCAAAUUCGCCAUUGGGGCCCUGUGCUCUUCACAGAUGAAAGCAGG
Non-coding RNA from Pelobates cultripes (western spadefoot toad), 294 nucleotides. Lineage: Eukaryota; Metazoa; Chordata; Amphibia; Anura; Pelobatidae. The record is from the annotation of a GenBank genome assembly.